RNAcentral lists this long non-coding RNA (1379 nucleotides) under Oreochromis niloticus (Nile tilapia). Its description in RNAcentral is "lncRNA (ENSONIG00000032341.1)". The record is from RNAcentral. Lineage: Eukaryota; Metazoa; Chordata; Actinopteri; Cichliformes; Cichlidae.
AUGUUUGGAGGUUAUGCAGAAGUCGCCCUCACCUGGGAGCUUGAAUUUAAGAGAGCGUCCUUCUUCUCUUAUGGCGAUAAUUUCUUCUGCAUGAAUGUUUCUGAUGAGAGUGAACAGCAGGGAGAAGCAGAGCUGUGCGACUGCAGCCAUCCUGCUCAGAGGUCUCCUGGUGAGUGUCGUACAAACACUGACACUGCUCGCUUCAUGAGCGUCCUGUUUGUGGUUGGAGGAACGCCACUUCUUUAUCACAUCAUCAAGGAACACUUUGAAGCAUUUGGCUCAGUAUCAAGCGUUCGGUCUGCUUAAUGUGUGGAUGUUACGAAACCGUUUACAGCCCAAACAAGAAAAACUGACCAUUUAUUAAAAGCUUCUAAAUGUCAGAGACACUGAUCCUAAAGCUGAACUCCCUUGGACCCCAAACCAGCAGAAACCAGGGAGGGUCAUUCUAUAUAAACUCAGUGAAAUCUGAAAAAACAAAGUUCCCAGCUCAGAAUCAGCUGAUUUCUUUGUGUGUAAUAAAAUCUUUAUAAUUAGAAUAUUGGUUUAAAUGUUGUAAUUUAUGGCAGGUCACCUACUCACUGGAAGUUUGGUGGAUAUAUCCUAGUCUGCUCCGGUCUGCAUGCCAAAUAUCCUUGGGCAAGUUAUUAACCCCAUGUUGCUCUCCAAUGCAUCCCUCGGAGUGUGAAUGUGUCUGUGAAUGUUAGAUAGAAAGCGCUUAGAAGAAGUGCUUGGGUGAAUGAACGAGUUAUGUAAAGUCCUCUGAGUGCUCAGAUUGAGGAGAAAAGCGUUAUAUAAGAGCCAGUCCAUUUUCCAUUUACUUUUUAAUUGGGAUUAUUUUUCUAUAUUUAGCACAACUGCACCAGGCUCAUGUCUGUGACGUACAGGAACAGAAACCAGCACUGGUACUCUGGAUGUUUGAUCUGUUUUCUGAUCAUUCACUGGAGAAAACUUCAAAAAGUGUAUUUUCACUAAACUUUCAAGGGUCAUAUUAGUUAUAGUUUAUCAAAGGUCUCAUUUUAACCUACAUUUGGAUCCCAGGAUCGUCUUCAACCUGAGAGUCAAAAUUAUUUUAUAAUACACUCAUAUUUAAUGAUUUAUUUAAAAAUCUCCGAAAGGAGAUUUUUAAUAUUAUCUUUGUGGCUGUUGAACUGACUGAACAUCCAAAAAUUAAAUAUUUAAAGCAGCAAGUCUUCAUAUUUAAUAGAAUAUCUGAACUGUUUACUUGAGAGUGUCCAAAAAUGAAAAAUAUAAAGAUUAGUGUGACAGUUUUAAUCAGAUCCUCAGAUGAAAACAUUUCCUCCUAAAUUCUCAGUAUUCACUUAUCAGCAUUCAGUCAAACAUUUUUUUAAAUCUUUUUUUAACAAGUGACUUUCCACAGC